Molecule: ribosomal RNA, 460 nt
Filed under: uncultured bacterium
Lineage: Bacteria
Description: partial 16S ribosomal RNA
Rfam family: Bacterial small subunit ribosomal RNA
Source: RNAcentral
CCUACGGGUGGCAGCAGUGAGGAAUAUUGGUCAAUGGACGAGAGUCUGAACCAGCCAAGUAGCGUGAAGGAUGACUGCCCUAUGGGUUGUAAACUUCUUUUAUAUGGGAAUAAAAUGUUCCACGUGUGGGAUUUUGUAUGUACCAUAUGAAUAAGGAUCGGCUAACUCCGUGCCAGCAGCCGCGGUAAUACGGAGGAUCCGAGCGUUAUCCGGAUUUAUUGGGUUUAAAGGGAGCGUAGGUGGAUUGUUAAGUCAGUUGUGAAAGUUUGCGGCUCAACCGUAACAUUGCAGUUGAUACUGGCAGUCUUGAGUACAGUAGAGGUGGGCGGAAUUCGUGGUGUAGCGGUGAAAUGCUUAGAUAUCACGAAGAACUCCGAUUGCGAAGGCAGUUCACUGGACUGCAACUGACACUGAGGCUCGAAAGUGUGGGUAUCAAACAGGAUUAGAUACCCUUGUAGUC